RNAcentral lists this ribosomal RNA (305 nucleotides) under uncultured bacterium. RNAcentral's name for it is "bacterial SSU rRNA". It matches the Rfam family "Bacterial small subunit ribosomal RNA", at positions 337 to 634 of the family's 1533-position model. The record is from RNAcentral.
ACCUACGGGAGGCAGCAGUAGGGAAUCUUCCACAAUGGGCGAAAGCCUGAUGGAGCAACGCCGCGUGGGUGAAGAAGGUCUUCGGAUCGUAAAACCCUGUUGUUAGAGAAGAAAGUGCGUGAGAGUAACUGUUCACGUUUCGACGGUAUCUAACCAGAAAGCCACGGCUAACUACGUGCCAGCAGCCGCGGUAAUACGUAGGUGGCAAGCGUUAUCCGGAUUUAUUGGGCGUAAAGGGAACGCAGGCGGUCUUUUAAGUCUGAUGUGAAAGCCUUCGGCUUAACCGGAGAAUUGCAUCAGAAACU